This 493-nucleotide ribosomal RNA is filed under the name uncultured marine bacterium. RNAcentral's name for it is "bacterial SSU rRNA". It matches the Rfam family "Bacterial small subunit ribosomal RNA", at positions 8 to 491 of the family's 1533-position model. The record is from RNAcentral.
AGAGUUUGAUCAUGGCUCAGAUUGAACGCUGGCGGCAGGCUUAACACAUGCAAGUCGAACGGUAACAGAACUAGCUUGCUAGUUGCUGACGAGUGGCGGACGGGUGAGUAACGCGUAGGAAUCUACCGAAUAGUGGGGGACAACAGUUGGAAACGGCUGCUAAUACCGCAUACGCCCUACCGGGGGAAAGGAGGGGAUCUUCGGACCUUUCGCUAUUUGAUGAGCCUGCGUGAGAUUAGUUAGUUGGUGGGGUAAUGGCUCACCAAGGCGACGAUCUCUAGCUGGUCUGAGAGGAUGAUCAGCCACACUGGGACUGAGACACGGCCCAGACUCCUACGGGAGGCAGCAGUGGGGAAUAUUGCACAAUGGGGGAAACCCUGAUGCAGCCAUGCCGCGUGUGUGAGGAAGGCCUUCGGGUUGUAAAGCACUUUCAGUUGUGAGGAAAGGUUAAGGGUUAAUAACCCUUAGCUGUGACGUUAGCAACAGAAGAAGC